CACACCUUCAAUUAGAAGAACCUU
This 24-nucleotide non-coding RNA is filed under the name Arabidopsis thaliana (thale cress). Lineage: Eukaryota; Viridiplantae; Streptophyta; Magnoliopsida; Brassicales; Brassicaceae. The record is from RNAcentral.